RNAcentral lists this long non-coding RNA (332 nucleotides) under Elaeis guineensis (African oil palm). RNAcentral's name for it is "long non-coding RNA (EGUI_LNC019499)". The record is from RNAcentral. Lineage: Eukaryota; Viridiplantae; Streptophyta; Magnoliopsida; Arecales; Arecaceae.
CCGUUACUAAUAUUUUCUUUUUUCAUGAUGGUAAUUUUGUUAGUCGCUAUUUAUCAUCGGUAAUAAUUAUUAUUAGCGACGAUAAUUUUGCUGUCACUGAUAGUCAUCGAUAAAAAAAUAUUUUUUUAUAGUACAGGAGGUUUCGAGAGUGCGGCCGGUGAAUUGCUUUCUAAACAAUACCAUAGAAAUAGGCCAGAUCAUGGGUCAAGCUUGGGCUCAAAGAAUGUUAUAGAUCUGGUCCAAAAUUUGAUUAAAAAUAAAUAGAAUUUAGAUCUGAGACCCAGCCUGUCACACCCCCGACCCGAGAUUGUGAAUCGAGGGUCAUGGCAACC